This is a long non-coding RNA of Cydia fagiglandana, 1532 nucleotides long. RefSeq lists it as uncharacterized. NCBI's taxonomy places the organism in Eukaryota, Metazoa, Arthropoda, Insecta, Lepidoptera, Tortricidae. The transcript has 2 exons. The record is from RefSeq and is a predicted model, not a curated record.
CGAAUAUAUUAUCUUGAGGUAAUGUAUUUGAGUCGCGUUACGCAUUCACGAUUGGCUAUGACGCGUGUAGGUAAAUACGAUACCUAUUUCUAGAUUGAUAUGUUAAAAAAAUUGAUUCAGAUCAAGAGUUUUCAAUUUUCAUACAAAUAUCAUUUGUCUGAAUGCAGAUCUAAAUAGAUUUGAAGGCAAAAGUUACAUCAUUUUUGCCUUUAAAUGUAACCUCAUAGAUUACCACUUGGCUCGGUGAACUAAUAAGAAGCUCAGCUUGUACCGGUCGUUUAACGGUAGGUAUUUCAAACUGGACCUUAUAAAAACAUCGUUAUAAAUCUAACAUCUCAUCACAAAGGAGCCUACGGCCACGUCUCAAUGCUCAUGAUGGAUCAAUUAUAUGGAUAGGUACUAUAUAUUUUUUUGCGUCGAUUAAUGCGUGUCGAAUGUGCAGUGAUCUAUUGUCACCGCGAUCCGGGUCCGAUAUGGAGAUGAUGGUACUGAUGCUUCGAAGCAUUUAUCACGUUUGAUAUAAAGCGUAUUAUCGCUUGUUUGUUUUUGUUUGUAUGGUUUGGUUAUAGCUUAAUGUGACAUUGUGUGCGUUUAAGUCCGGUACCAUUGAACGGAGGACGCGGGCAUUAGUGGUCCGCGCACGAAGGGACCCCGGCCGCGUAUAUAAGGAUACGGCGGGAGGAACUGACACAUAUCAAGCAGCAAUCCCGUCUAGUGCUGACUAGAACAGGCUUUGGUGGCUUUUUAAACCACACGAAACCACGAUGAUGAAAUUGAUGGCAUUGGUUGUGUGCCUUCUGGCGGCGCUGGCGCUGAGCCCUGCAGAGGCAAAGCCCCAGGUGCUGGUCGACUACGGGUACUCCGGCUACUACGCACCCGCCUACGUCUCCCCCUACAGCGCUGUCGCCUACUCCUACCCGUACGCUUACACUUACUCUUACCCCUACGCGUACUACUAGACCGAGUAACUCGAGUGGACUUCGUCGGACAAAGGGGUUGUGAGUUAUCGUUAUUUUACUGUUCGAACACUUAUUAAAGAAUCGUACGAUGCCUACCAAAACAUCCGUAUUGAAGUAGAUACCUGUACCUACUUUGCAAUUCCUUUUUACGAAUGACAUAACAUAAUCGACGGUUAACAGGCUCGAGAGUUUAUCCAGUUAUACUCACAAACAAAUUUGUGUUGCGAAGACACUCUGUAUAUCCAACUAACCUGUGAUGUAACUACCUAAUAAUUUUAUUUUAAAUGUAUAAUUAGUGUAAUGUACCUAAUUUUUUUUUUUAAUUUCGGUCUAGGCCUCACAACCGAUGUAAGUACCAUUUUUUUAGGUACCAUCAGCCCUAGGUCACAAUCACAAUGUAUAAGAGCUCUUAGUGGUUGUAUUUUUACAAAACAGUAAUUUACUUUCAAUUGCGAAUUGUUGUUACCUACCAAGAUAUUGGGUCUAAAUCUUAAUGAAACACCGGCCUUGACUGAUUAAUUAUUUCUCUGUAAUGGCGUUAAAUGAUUGCUAAUAAAUUGCUAUCAAAUUAAA